UAAAAAUUAAAUGGAAAGCUAGGUAGGAGCUACUUUAGAUUAUUACUAGAUUUUAACCCGCGGUAUACCGCCGAGACAAUUUACUUUUUUAAAUUAAUAUAUAUAAAAGUUUGCAAAUUAUAUUUAUCUAUAAAAUAUUUUUAUUUUCUAGUUUACAAUUGUUAUUAAGUAAAGUCCUUUCAAACCCGUCUUGCCAAACCCGUCCCGUAAAAAAACCUGAAGUACACCGAUAAUUUAAAUAUAUAAUUAAAAUAAAUAUUUUACGGGAUUGCAAUUGUAUUUUAGUUUGUCAAACAAAUUUUUGUUUUAAAUAGUUGCCAAAAAUAAGAUUUAGUGAAUUGAUAAGAAAUGUAUUUAGAUGCGUUUUGCUCAUUUUAAGGGAUUGCAAUUGUAUUUUGGUUUGUCAAACAUUUUUUGUUUUAAAUAGUUGUCAAAAUCUAGUUCAAAUUUUGGAAAAACCUGCGUGAUAUAUGGGAUUGGAAGAUAUUUAGAAUGUUUUUCGUUUGUUAAUCAAUUUCUUGCCAAAAAAACCAUUAA
Molecule: small RNA, 537 nt
Filed under: Arabidopsis thaliana (thale cress)
Lineage: Eukaryota; Viridiplantae; Streptophyta; Magnoliopsida; Brassicales; Brassicaceae
Description: ATSL219590
Source: RNAcentral